This 29-nucleotide non-coding RNA is filed under the name Mus musculus (house mouse). Lineage: Eukaryota; Metazoa; Chordata; Mammalia; Rodentia; Muridae. The record is from RNAcentral.
UGUGACCCACAUCUUGCUGCCAGGCUUUU